RNAcentral lists this ribosomal RNA (371 nucleotides) under uncultured organism. Its description in RNAcentral is "bacterial SSU rRNA". It matches the Rfam family "Bacterial small subunit ribosomal RNA", at positions 525 to 896 of the family's 1533-position model. The record is from RNAcentral.
CGGAAGGGGGCUAGCGUUGUCCGGAAUUACUGGGCGUAAAGCGCGCGCAGGCGGUCCUUUAAGUCGGGGGUGAAAGCCCAGAGCUCAACUCUGGAACUGCCUUCGAAACUAGAGGACUUGGGUACGGGAGAGGUGAGUGGAAUUCCGAGUGUAGAGGUGAAAUUCGUAGAUAUUCGGAAGAACACCAGUGGCGAAGGCGGCUCACUGGCCCGUUACCGACGCUCAGGCGCGACAGCGUGGGGAGCAAACAGGAUUAGAUACCCUGGUAGUCCACGCCGUAAACGAUGGAUGCUAGCCGUUGGUAAGCAUGCUUAUCAGUGGCGCAGCUAACGCAUUAAGCAUCCCGCCUGGGGAGUACGGCCGCAAGGUUG